RNAcentral lists this ribosomal RNA (441 nucleotides) under uncultured bacterium. RNAcentral's name for it is "partial 16S ribosomal RNA". It matches the Rfam family "Bacterial small subunit ribosomal RNA", at positions 338 to 795 of the family's 1533-position model. The record is from RNAcentral.
CCUACGGGUGGCAGCAGUGGGGGAUCUUGCACAAUGGGGGGAACCCUGAUGCAGCGACGCCGCGUGGGGGAAGGAGUGUUUCGGCGCGUAAAGCCCUAUCGGCAGGGAAGAAGGAGGAAGGUACCUGACUAAGAAGCCCCGGCUAACGACGCGCCAGCAGCCGAGGUAAUACGAAGGGGGCAAGCGUUAUCCGGAUAUACUGGGUGUAAAGGGGGCGCAGACGGCAGCGCAAGCCAGGGGUGAAAGCCCGGGGCCCAACCCCGGGACUGCUCUUGGAACUGCGCGGCUGGAGUGCAGGAGGGGCAGGCGGAAUUCCUGGUGUAGCGGUGAAAUGCGUAGAUAUCGGGAGGAACACUGGUGGCGAAGGCGGCCUGCUGGACUGCGACUGACGUUGAGGCCCGAAAGCGUGGGGAGCGAACGGGAUUAGAUACCCCUGUAGUC